UUACAUAACUGAGGGUUUUCU
RNAcentral lists this non-coding RNA (21 nucleotides) under Caenorhabditis elegans. Lineage: Eukaryota; Metazoa; Nematoda; Chromadorea; Rhabditida; Rhabditidae. The record is from RNAcentral.